GUCACCUAAAUUAUAAAGUGAGACAUUGUGAAAGUGGCGAUUUUUUUAUUUUUUAUUUUUUAUUUUAAUUAUGAAAGAAACGAAAUAUAAGAGGUUUACUAUGUUCAAUGAAUUCACUUAAUUGCAUAGAUUUAAGGAGAUGAAACAUUUAAUUUUAUGUUCAUGUAUUUAAUUUAUGGCCUAGAAAAAUGAAAAGACAUUGAAUUUAUAUUCAUAGUAUAUUAAAUUUAGUAUUUUAAAAUAAUAAACUUU
RNAcentral lists this long non-coding RNA (252 nucleotides) under Salvia miltiorrhiza (redroot sage). RNAcentral's name for it is "long non-coding RNA (SMIL_LNC012876)". Lineage: Eukaryota; Viridiplantae; Streptophyta; Magnoliopsida; Lamiales; Lamiaceae. The record is from RNAcentral.